GAUGAACGCUGGCGGCGUGCCUAAUACAUGCAAGUCGAGCGAACGGACGAGAAGCUUGCUUCUCUGAUGUUAUCGGCGGACGGGUGAGUAACACGUGGAUAACCUACCUAUAAGACUGGGAUAACUUCGGGAAACCGGAGCUAAUACCGGAUAAUAUUUUGAGCCGCAUGGUUCAAAAGUGAAAGACGGUCUUGCUGCCACUUAUAGAUGGAUCCGCGCUGCAUUAGCUAGUUGGUAAGGUAACGGCUUACCAAGGCAACGAUGCAUAGCCGACCUGAGAGGGUGAUCGGCCACACUGGAACUGAGACACGGUCCAGACUCCUACGGGAGGCAGCAGUAGGGAAUCUUCCGCAAUGGGCGAAAGCCUGACGGAGCAACGCCGCGUGAGUGAUGAAGGUCUUCGGAUCGUAAAACUCUGUUAUUAGGGAAGAACAUAUGUGUAAGUAACUGUGCACAUCUUGACGGUACCUAAUCAGAAAGCCACGGCUAACUACGUG
Molecule: ribosomal RNA, 497 nt
Filed under: uncultured bacterium
Lineage: Bacteria
Description: partial 16S ribosomal RNA
Rfam family: Bacterial small subunit ribosomal RNA
Source: RNAcentral